RNAcentral lists this ribosomal RNA (585 nucleotides) under uncultured bacterium. RNAcentral's name for it is "bacterial SSU rRNA". It matches the Rfam family "Bacterial small subunit ribosomal RNA", at positions 338 to 917 of the family's 1533-position model. The record is from RNAcentral.
CCUACGGGAGGCAGCAGUAAGGAAUAUUGGACAAUGGAGGAAACUCUGAUCCAGCGAUGCCGCGUGAAGGAAGACGGCCCUAUGGGUUGUAAACUUCUUUUAUACAGGAAGAAACCUUUCCACGUGUGGAAAGCUGACGGUACUGUAAGAAUAAGGAUCGGCUAACUCCGUGCCAGCAGCCGCGGUAAUACGGAGGAUCCAAGCGUUAUCCGGAAUUAUUGGGUUUAAAGGGUCCGCAGGCUGUUUGUUAAGUCAGGGGUGAAAUCCUACCGCUCAACGGUAGAACUGCCUUUGAUACUGGCAAACUUGAGUUAUUGUGAAGUAGUUAGAAUGUGUAGUGUAGCGGUGAAAUGCAUAGAUAUUACACAGAAUACCAAUUGCGAAGGCAGAUUACUAACAAUUAACUGACGCUGAGGGACGAAAGCGUGGGUAGCGAACAGGAUUAGAUACCCUGGUAGUCCACGCCGUAAACGAUGGUCACUAGCUGUUCGAUGUACAUUGGUACAUUGAGUGGCUAAGCGAAAGUGAUAAGUGACCCACCUGGGGAGUACGCUCGCAAGAGUGAAACUCAAAGGAAUUGACGGA